Molecule: non-coding RNA, 24 nt
Filed under: Arabidopsis thaliana (thale cress)
Lineage: Eukaryota; Viridiplantae; Streptophyta; Magnoliopsida; Brassicales; Brassicaceae
Source: RNAcentral
ACGUUCUUUAUGUCCCAAAUUUGA